UUCUGGUUUGACUGAUAGGCUGGGACUAU
This 29-nucleotide non-coding RNA is filed under the name Mus musculus (house mouse). Lineage: Eukaryota; Metazoa; Chordata; Mammalia; Rodentia; Muridae. The record is from RNAcentral.